Molecule: ribosomal RNA, 118 nt
Organism: Danio rerio (zebrafish)
Lineage: Eukaryota; Metazoa; Chordata; Actinopteri; Cypriniformes; Danionidae
Source: Ensembl
AGCCACAGCCAUAUCACCCUGCAGCCCAAGAUUACUUACUGAUUACUCACUGAAGCAGGGUGAGCCCGGUAAGUACCUGAAUGGGAGACCACAUGGGAAAACUAGGUUGCUGUUGGAA